CACUCCUACGGGAGGCAGCAGUAGGGAAUCUUCCACAAUGGGUGCAAACCUGAUGGAGCAAUGCCGCGUGAGUGAAGAAGGUCUUCGGAUCGUAAAGCUCUGUUGUUAGAGAAGAACACGUGCUAGGUAACUACUAGCGCCUUGACGGUAUCUAACCAGAAAGUCACGGCUAACUACGUGCCAGCAGCCGCGGUAAUACGUAGGUGACAAGCGUUGUCCGGAUUUAUUGGGCGUAAAGGGAGCGCAGGCGGUCUGUUUAGUCUAAUGUGAAAGCCCACGGCUUAACCGUGGAACGGCAUUGGAAACUGACAGACUUGAAUGGAGAAGAGUAAAAUGGAAUUCCAAGUGUAGCGGUGGAAUGCGUAGAUAUUUGGAGGAACACCAGUGGCGAAGGCGAUUUUCUGGUCUAACAUUGACGCUGAGGCUCGAAAGCGUGGGGAGCGAACAGGAUUAGAUACCCCUGUAGUCCC
RNAcentral lists this ribosomal RNA (470 nucleotides) under uncultured organism. RNAcentral's name for it is "partial 16S ribosomal RNA". It matches the Rfam family "Bacterial small subunit ribosomal RNA", at positions 334 to 797 of the family's 1533-position model. The record is from RNAcentral.